This 251-nucleotide ribosomal RNA is filed under the name uncultured prokaryote. RNAcentral's name for it is "partial 16S ribosomal RNA". It matches the Rfam family "Bacterial small subunit ribosomal RNA", at positions 525 to 775 of the family's 1533-position model. The record is from RNAcentral.
ACGAAGGGGGCUAGCGUUGCUCGGAAUCACUGGGCGUAAAGGGCGCGUAGGCGGCGUUUUAAGUCGGGGGUGAAAGCCUGUGGCUCAACCACAGAAUGGCCUUCGAUACUGGGACGCUUGAGUAUGGUAGAGGUUGGUGGAACUGCGAGUGUAGAGGUGAAAUUCGUAGAUAUUCGCAAGAACACCGGUGGCGAAGGCGGCCAACUGGACCAUCACUGACGCUGAGGCGCGAAAGCGUGGGGAGCAAACAG